AACUUACUCCCUCCGUUCGGAAUUACUUGUUGCACGAAUGGAUGUAUCUAGACGUAUUUUAGUUCUAGAUACAUCCAUUUUCGAGACAAAUAAUUCCAAGCGGAUGGAGUACAAC
Triticum aestivum (bread wheat) is the source of this 115-nucleotide non-coding RNA. The record is from Rfam. NCBI's taxonomy places the organism in Eukaryota, Viridiplantae, Streptophyta, Magnoliopsida, Poales, Poaceae.